Molecule: long non-coding RNA, 961 nt
Filed under: Homo sapiens (human)
Lineage: Eukaryota; Metazoa; Chordata; Mammalia; Primates; Hominidae
Description: non-protein coding lnc-DTHD1-1:5
Source: RNAcentral
GUUUCGGUGUGGUGAGUGAAAUGGAGAAGGCUAAACUUUUUCUUCCCACAUGCUCACUUCCUUGCUUGUUCGCUAGCUGCUGCAUCUGGCCCCUCAAGGGUAAAGUCAAGGGGAAAAGGAGAUUGAGAGGAAGGACAGUCUGUGAAUUGGUGAGUGCAAUUGUAAUUUUCUGGCGCUUACUUUCUCUUUUCUACUCCAUCCCCCACCCACCACCGGCCAACCACUGCUAGAGUCCGGAGUCCUCCAGCUGCUCCUGAGAUUCUGGGAAUACUUCCUCUCUAGCAGCAGCUUUUAACAUCCCUCUUGGGUCCCUUUUUGGUGCAUUAAGUUUCUUUAAUAAAUUAAGUGUCCCCAGAGGCCUACUGCAAUCUUCUCUCAUAGUCCCUACAGCCUCUAGUAAAGUUCAAGAUACACUGCUGGCAUUUGCCUCUGAUGUGUGAAUUGAUGUCCUACCUUCUUCAGUGCUGAACCUCAAACUUGCUUUGCACACUAUAUCUGGCAUAAACUAAGAAUAAGAGAUAAGAGCCUUUGCCCAAGUAUAUCAUUCAGGAGACUGGAGUUAGAAAAAAACAAGCCACUACAUCAACAAGGCUGGAGUUUUUUAUUAUUAAAGGAGUGUGUGCAUACACGUAUGUGUGGGUAGUCAUAUUUAUUAAAUACUACCCAUAUGCAAGCCCAGUACAUAAAUAACUUUAUUAUUAAUAAUAAAAACUAAUACUAAUUUAUAACUAAUACUAGGGUUAUAUUUUUUAUUAUACACACACACACACACACACUCACACACAUAUAUAUAUAUUUUUUUUCUUUUUUCUUUUUUUUUUUUGAGACGGAGUCUCGCUCUGUAGCCAGGCUGGAGUGCAGUGGUGUGAUCUCGGCUCACUGCAACCACCUCCCAAGUUCAAGUGAUUCUUCUGCCUCAGCCUCCCGCGUAGCUGGGACUACAGGCGCACGCCACCAUGUC